AUCAGCCGCCGGGCAGCGUCUGUUUCCAUUCCGUUAGGCCUUAGAAGGGAUGGAUGACAGGCGUUUAUUUU
Molecule: non-coding RNA, 71 nt
Filed under: unclassified sequences
Source: RNAcentral